GGACAACCUACCCUAAGGAGGGGGAUAACCCCGGGAAACUGGGGAUAAUACCCCAUAGACUAGAGAAGCUGGAAUGCUCUCAAGUCCAAAGGUCCGCCGCCUUAGGAUGGGUCUGCGGUCGAUUAGGUUGUUGUUGGGGUAACGGCCCAACAAGCCCGUGAUCGAUACGGGUUGUGAGAGCAAGAGCCCGGAGAUGGAUUCUGAGACACGAAUCCAGGCCCUACGGGGCGCAGCAGGCGCGAAAACUUUACAAUGCGGGAAACCGUGAUAAGGGAAUCUCGAGUGCCAGCAUAUAAUGUUGGCUGUCCAGAUGCCUAAAAAGCAUCUGUUAGCAAGGGCCGGGCAAGACCGGUGCCAGCCGCCGCGGUAACACCGGCGGCCCGAGUGGUGGCCACUAUUAUUGGGUCUAAAGGGUCCGUAGCCGGUUUGGUCAGUCUUCCGGGAAAUCUGACGGCUCAACCGUUAGGCUUUCGGGGAUACUACCAGGCUUGGGACCGGGAGAGGUAAGAGGUACUACGGGGGUAGGAGUGAAAUCUUGUAAUCCCUGUGGGACCACCAGUGGCGAAGGCGUCUUACCAGAACGGGUCCGACGGUGAGGGACGAAAGCUGGGGGCACGAACCGGAUUAGAUACCCGGGUAGUCCCAGCUGUAAACUAUGCUCGCUAGGUGUCAGGGACGGUGCGACCGUUUCUGGUGCCGCAGGGAAGCCGUGAAGCGAGCCACCUGGGAAGUACGGUCGCAAGGCUGAAACUUAA
Molecule: ribosomal RNA, 755 nt
Filed under: uncultured archaeon
Lineage: Archaea
Description: bacterial SSU rRNA
Rfam family: Archaeal small subunit ribosomal RNA
Source: RNAcentral